This 885-nucleotide ribosomal RNA is filed under the name Salmonella enterica. Its description in RNAcentral is "partial 23S ribosomal RNA". It matches the Rfam family "Bacterial large subunit ribosomal RNA", at positions 2049 to 2925 of the family's 2925-position model. Lineage: Bacteria; Pseudomonadati; Pseudomonadota; Gammaproteobacteria; Enterobacterales; Enterobacteriaceae. The record is from RNAcentral.
CGCUGUGAAGAUGCAGUGUACCCGCGGCAAGACGGAAAGACCCCGUGAACCUUUACUAUAGCUUGACACUGAACAUUGAGCCUUGAUGUGUAGGAUAGGUGGGAGGCUUUGAAGUGUGGACGCCAGUCUGCAUGGAGCCGACCUUGAAAUACCACCCUUUAAUGUUUGAUGUUCUAACGUGGACCCGUUACCCGGGUUGCGGACAGUGUCUGGUGGGUAGUUUGACUGGGGCGGUCUCCUCCUAAAGAGUAACGGAGGAGCACGAAGGUUGGCUAAUCCUGGUCGGACAUCAGGAGGUUAGUGCAAUGGCAUAAGCCAGCUUGACUGCGAGCGUGACGGCGCGAGCAGGUGCGAAAGCAGGUCAUAGUGAUCCGGUGGUUCUGAAUGGAAGGGCCAUCGCUCAACGGAUAAAAGGUACUCCGGGGAUAACAGGCUGAUACCGCCCAAGAGUUCAUAUCGACGGCGGUGUUUGGCACCUCGAUGUCGGCUCAUCACAUCCUGGGGCUGAAGUAGGUCCCAAGGGUAUGGCUGUUCGCCAUUUAAAGUGGUACGCGAGCUGGGUUUAGAACGUCGUGAGACAGUUCGGUCCCUAUCUGCCGUGGGCGCUGGAGAACUGAGGGGGGCUGCUCCUAGUACGAGAGGACCGGAGUGGACGCAUCACUGGUGUUCGGGUUGUCAUGCCAAUGGCACUGCCCGGUAGCUAAAUGCGGAAGAGAUAAGUGCUGAAAGCAUCUAAGCACGAAACUUGCCCCGAGAUGAGUUCUCCCUGAGACUUAGAGUCUCCUGAAGGAACGUUGAAGACGACGACGUUGAUAGGCCGGGUGUGUAAGCGCAGCGAUGCGUUGAGCUAACCGGUACUAAUGAACCGUGAGGCUUAACCUUACA